UGGGGAAUAUUGCACAAUGGGGGAAACCCUGAUGCAGCGACGCCGCGUGAGCGAUGAAGUAUUUCGGCGCGUAAAGCUCUAUCAGCAGGGAAGACAAACUGCCCCGGAAGGGGCAGCCGGACGGUACCUGACCAAGAAGCCCCGGCUAACUACGUGCCAGCAGCCGCGGUAAUACGUAGGGGGCAAGCGUUAUCCGGAUUUACUGGGUGUAAAGGGAGCGUAGACGGCAAGACAAGCCUGGAGUGAAAGGCGGGGGCCCAACCCCCGGACUGCUCUGGGAACUGUCUGGCUGGAGUGCAGGAGGGGUAAGUGGAAUUCCUAGUGUAGCGGUGAAAUGCGUAGAUAUUAGGAGGAACACCGGUGGCGAAGGCGGCUUACUGGACCGUAACUGACGUUGAGGCUCGAAAGCGUGGGGAGCAAACAGG
Molecule: ribosomal RNA, 425 nt
Filed under: uncultured bacterium
Lineage: Bacteria
Description: bacterial SSU rRNA
Rfam family: Bacterial small subunit ribosomal RNA
Source: RNAcentral